UACGUAGGGGGCUAGCGUUGUCCGGAAUCAUUGGGCGUAAAGCGCGUGUAGGCGGCCCGGUAAGUCCGCUGUGAAAGUCCAGGGCUCAACCCUGGGAUGCCGGUGGAUACUGUCGGGCUCGAGUCCGGAAGAGGCGAGUGGAAUUCCUGGUGUAGCGGUGAAAUGCGCAGAGAUCGGGAGGAACAUCAGUUGCGAAGGCGGCCACCUGGACCAGCACUGACACUGAGGCACGAAAGCGUGGGGAGCAAACAGG
This 253-nucleotide ribosomal RNA is filed under the name uncultured bacterium. RNAcentral's name for it is "partial 16S ribosomal RNA". It matches the Rfam family "Bacterial small subunit ribosomal RNA", at positions 524 to 776 of the family's 1533-position model. The record is from RNAcentral.